AACAUUUAUUCCAUGGGACAAAACUAGGUCCAGAGUAUGACUGUGGCAGUGAGUAGGUCCAGAGACAUGUUGGACAAAACCCACUGAGUCGAUGAUGGCUCCGAAAGCCUUUUGGAGUGGGUCUGUGGACUUUUCCAUGUGAAUGUUAAAGUCACCAAAAAUUAGAAUAUUAUCUGCUAUGACUACAAGAUCCGAUAGGAAUUCAGGGAACUCAGUGAGGAACACUGCAUAUGGCCCAGGAGGCCUAUAAACAGUAGCUAUAAAAAGUGAGUGAGUAGGCUGCAUAGAUUUCAUGACUAGAAGCUCAAAAGACGAAAACGUCAUUGUUGUUUUUUUUUUUUGUAAAUUGAAAUUUGCUAUCGUAAAUGUUAGCAACACCUCCGCCUUUGCCGGAUGCACGGGGGAUAUGGUCACUAGUGUAACCAGGAGGAGAGGCCUCAUUUAACACAGUAAAUUCAUCAGGCUUAAGCCAUGUUUCAGUCAGGCCAAUCACAUCAAGAUUAUGAUCAGUGAUUAGUUCAUUGACUAUAACUGCCUUGGAAGUGAGGGAUCUAACAUUAAGUAACCCAAUUUUGAGAUGUGAGGUAUCACAAUCUCUUUCAAUAAUGGCAGGAAUGGAGGAGGUCUUUAUACUAGUGAGAUUGCUAAAGCGAACACCGCCAUUUUUAAUUUUGCCCAACCUAGAUCGAGGCACAGACACGGUCUCAAUGGGGGAAGCUGAGCUGACUACACUGACUGUGCUAGUGGCAGACUCCACUAAGCUGGCAGGCUGGCUAACAGCCUGCUGCCUGGCCUGCACCCUAUUUCAUUGUGGAGCUAGAGGAGUUAGAGCCCUGUCUAUGUUCGUAGAUAAGAUGAGAGCACCCCUCCAGCUAGGAUGGAGUCCGUCACUCCUCAACAGGCCAGGCUUGGUCCUGUUUGUGGGUGAGUCCCAGAAAGAGGGCCAAUUAUCUACAAAUUCUAUCUUUUGGGAGGGGCAGAAAACAGUUUUCAACCAGCGAUUGAGUUGUGAGACUCUGCUGUAGAGCUCAUCACUCCCCCUAACUGGGAGGGGGCCAGAGACAAUUAAUCGAUGCCGACAUCUUUCUAGCUGAUUUAGACAAAGAUCUAACAGUCAUGUCUGUAGUAUUGACCAAAAUGUCCGUUGGUUUGUAACUAUUUAAUAUUUCUUACAUGGGGGUUUGCUAUAUUGUGAACAUGUAUUAAUCAAAACUCUCACUGUGCAGUACACAUCAUAUAAUUGACCAUCAACCAUAGGAUAAAUAACAGGGCCAUAUAAGAAGAAAAUGAAAGCUCUUACAAUAUUCAAUGAUUUCAUUUCUCUAAAACUGGCUAUAGGCUACCGUGUGCACGUGCACCACCAAGUCAGAACAGUAGGUGAAAAAAUACCAAAUCAUUAGCGUGAGGCACACGGGCUACCAACAGCUUACUACACAACAUACACUUAGUAUUACUUUCUUAGCUACAGUAUACAUAUCUCCCUGGCAUAUUACAUCAUUUAUGAAGCUGCAUACUAGAGAUUUUUAGACUCACAUUG
This 1537-nucleotide long non-coding RNA is filed under the name Salmo salar (Atlantic salmon). Its description in RNAcentral is "lncRNA (ENSSSAG00000104738.1)". Lineage: Eukaryota; Metazoa; Chordata; Actinopteri; Salmoniformes; Salmonidae. The record is from RNAcentral.